RNAcentral lists this ribosomal RNA (466 nucleotides) under uncultured bacterium. Its description in RNAcentral is "partial 16S ribosomal RNA". It matches the Rfam family "Bacterial small subunit ribosomal RNA", at positions 28 to 505 of the family's 1533-position model. The record is from RNAcentral.
GACGAACGCUGGCGGCGUGCUUAACACAUGCAAGUCGAACGGAAAGGCUCCAGCUUGCUGGAGUACUCGAGUGGCAAACGGGUGAGUAACACGUGGGUGAUCUGCCCUGCACUUCGGGAUAAGCCUGGGAAACUGGGUCUAAUACCGGAUAGGACCGCACUUUGGUGUGUGUGGUGGAAAGGUUUUUCUGGUGUGGGAUGAGCUCGCGGCCUAUCAGUUUGUUGGUGGGGUAAUGGCCUACCAAGACGGCGACGGGUAGCCGGCCUGAGAGGGUGGACGGUCACAUUGGGACUGAGAUACGGCCCAGACUCCUACGGGAGGCAGCAGUGGGGAAUAUUGCACAAUGGGGGAAACCCUGAUGCAGCGACGCCGCGUGGGGGAUGAAGGCCUUCGGGUUGUAAACUCCUUUCGCUAGGGACGAAGCUUUUUGUGACGGUACCUGGAGAAGAAGCACCGGCUAACUACG